This 547-nucleotide unclassified non-coding RNA is filed under the name Hevea brasiliensis (rubber tree). The record is from RNAcentral. Lineage: Eukaryota; Viridiplantae; Streptophyta; Magnoliopsida; Malpighiales; Euphorbiaceae.
CACAACUAACUGUAUACAUUUUAUUGCAUGUUUCUGAAUGCUGGUCAGACUCAUUAUCUAAAGACCAACUAAAUUCUUAUAUUCUGACUUCUCCCCCCAUUUUCAAACAAUGCAUUUCUUCCCAUGCCUUUUCUUCUUGUUGGCGGUUGUGCAGACAUAAGUAAUGAAUUUUCACAAUUCGACUCUCUCUUUCAUUGCAUCCACAAGAGCAAACGGCUUGUUAAUAGCACUUUCUGUUCAUGUUUCAUGCCAACAAUUGACCUAACAUCAAGCACUAGAUAGCUUGCUUGUCAAUGAUGUUAAACCAACAAACACUACUUUUGUCCCCCAAGUUCAGCCAUUGUAAUAGAGCAGGUUCCAAGUUGGAUGAAAUGCCCAGUCCAUAAACCAGUCUCUGUAAAAUCCAACAGGUGUAACAGGCAAGCUGCCCCUACAGAGCCUUGGUAUAACCGACCCAAUCAGUGUUCAGUCAGCAGUCCAGCUCAUGGGUGGCAAUAACCAACCAAAUAGUUUCAUGAUGCUGUUCACCCUUCCACUCCCAGCAAAA